This is an RNA transcript of Sitodiplosis mosellana (orange wheat blossom midge), 3800 nucleotides long. It is a transcript of the gene named kinetochore protein NDC80 homolog, with no coding region annotated. NCBI's taxonomy places the organism in Eukaryota, Metazoa, Arthropoda, Insecta, Diptera, Cecidomyiidae. The transcript has 4 exons. The record is from RefSeq and is a predicted model, not a curated record.
GCACAUGUUGAACUGUCAAAACGGGUCAAACGCAAAGUAUGUGAGUAAAACAUGUGCUAAAUGCAAGAAUUAUUUCCAAACAAUCCCAAUAUCCAACAAUAUCACCGAUGAAAACAAAGAGAAAAUAAUUAAAAUCACAAAUUUAACUGAGUUUUCUAGUGCAAAUUUUACUUUUUCCAAGCUUGUCAAUUGGUGUUGCCCUAGAUUCGAUUCGAAUAUUGUUGUGCGAGCGAGAUGGAUAUACGUGCGACUGUGUAUAGUGGUCUGAACCAUUCAAAUCACAACAAAUUUACAUUCAAAUGAUGGCGAGUAGUUUCAAUUCUCACCACUGCGUGCCCAAGUGUAUAUUCAAUAUAAUAAGCGCAAUUCAAUGAAGUGGGGUUUUGCACGCUGAAAAGUAAAAAUAACAAACUUUGGUCUGUCUGUUCGAGUCAAUGGUUAUUAUUGUAAAUUGAAAAAUGUCCGAGAAAGGAAAACUCACGUACAGCAACAGAAAGCCCGAUUCAACAAGAAAAAGUAAAUUGCCGCUUUCGAAAAAUCGGUUUUCCAUCGUGGGCCGAGGAGCAACACUCUCACGACCGUCACAUAUUCCACGUCCUUCAUCCAUUGGGCCCCGAGUGGUUCUACUGUCGAGUGCGACUCGAUCAUCGAGUGGAACCCGCUUAUCGCGAGAUACAAUUGGCCGUUCUUCAGGUGGCUUGCGUCGUUAUGGCAGUGACAAUUAUUUGAACACGCCAAGCCGAUUUGCGACAAUGUCAACGCCGCUCCUUGGCCGAUCACCAGCUGUGCGCCACUCAGUGAUGCCACCAGACAGUUCACGGAAAUCAAAACAUGAGAACAUGAUAAAAGUUCAGAAGAUUCUACAACGUGACGAAUCGUUCUAUGCUGAUCUGAAUCUCAAAAAUGGUUGCUUAAAAACAAUGACCAUCAAUCAAUUCUACAUGAUAAUAAGACGUUUCGUUCGCUUGAUUUGCGGAAAGGAUUUGGACACAUUCAUAAAGGGUGGUGACCCGAUAAAUGGCAUUCUUAAUUUUAUCGAAUCCGUUGAGUACCCAUUCGUUGUAAACAAAUCCAUGCUUAAGACACCCAAUGCACCGCAUACAUUUGAUCAAAUUGUGGUGAUGCUUUCGUGGUUGGGAAGUGUUAGCAGCGUGUCAACUAUAGCGUCCGAUGAUUCAAUAUUGGACAAGUGUCUAUUCGUCAAGGAUGAACAAUUCCCAAAUGAAGAAUACACAUCGAUGUUUUCCAAGGCCAUUCAAGAUGGUUAUCUGUUGUGGAACAAUGAAAGCGAUGACCAUGCAACAUUUAUCGAUCGUUUCACCGAUGAACUCAUCGCUGCCAAAUUGGAUCACAAGGUUGAAACAGCUGCUGAGCUACAAUCAUUAACCGACAAUCUGAAAAUGAAAUCGAAAGAAUUGGCUGAUAAUCCGGUGCAGUUGAACAAUUUGCAUCAGUUUGAACAACUGGAAUCGAAAUACGUCGAAUACGAGACCAUGGAACAUGAUCUGGAGAAUCAACUGAAGGAUAAGCGUGAUCGAUUGGCUGCCGUACAAGUGAAUUGGAAAGAUAUACGCGCCAAAGUGCAACAGUCUCAAUCGAAAAUUCAGGCACUUGCCACUCAAAUUCAACAGCAAGAGCACAGUAUUGCCGACUAUAGAAAAUUGGCCGAAAAUUUGUCUAUGAUGAGAACAGCGGUUGGAACAGUUCAAAAUGAAAUCAAACUCAUUCGAGAUGAGGAUUCAAUUCAGCAGAUCACGCGGGCCAGACUAUUAAAGAAGGUUUCUGAAGCGAUUAAUAAGAUCAACGAUCGCGGAAUGCAAAUCGUAAAAGUGCUAAACAACACUCAAAUUAAUUUUGGCGAAAAGGAAUUAAACCUGCUACAUCUGCCGGCAAGUCCAUCAGUUCAACUAGUAAAAGAUGUGGAACAAACGUUGUCACAUAUUUUCAGUGUCGUGAAAAUUCAAAAGCAUAAAACACAAAUCGAACUCGACAAGGCAACUAGCAAAUUAAACGUUCUGAAAGCAGAAUCGGAAGCAUUGACGAAAGAAUUUGAUAGUAUCAAGAAAAAAUAUGAGAAGAUCUCUUUCGAAAAUGAGGUGCUCGAGAAAAAAUCGACAAUAAAGAACAAAAAGAAUGAAAGCUGUACUCAUAAGUUGACUAAGCAAGCUGAUGAGGCCAAAACAAAACACAGUAUACUCAAAGUUAAAAUCGCCGCCGCGCAUGCUGAACAGAAGCGAUUUGAGGAUGAAAAUAUUAAGCUAAUGGAACUGGCAGAAGCACAUGCCAUGAAAAUCAUUGCAGAAAAACAAGAUUUGGUCAAUCAUUUGGAUGAACUUGAAAAGGUGUUAGAUGGGCAUUUAGAGGGUUUUGAUUAUCCAAAAUAAGCGUGAAUGUUGCAACUUACAUGGGCAUACAUGCCCGAACAUUACCGAUUCUAGUCACAGCGGUGAAAACUUAAAAAAUGAUUCGGUUUUAGUGGAAGUCUUUGCACACAAUGAUACUUUGGUUAAGUCUACUAAAAAUUUAAAUUUGAAAUAUCAAAAAAAGAAAUUCUUCAAAAAAACAACUACAAGAGAUAAUAUUUUUUCUGUCCGUCCGUCUGUCCGUAGUUUUUGCCCGAUCUUUCUUAAACAAUUUAGAUAUUAUUUCAUGGGUUGAAGUCGGUACCAUCGAAAUUAAGCAAAAUGACUGACACACGAAGGGAUCUAAGAGAGCUUGAUUGCUCAAAUUUGUCAGUGGACUGGAAGAAUUGAAAACGUAAUUUUUUGGUGUACAUGAUCGCCAACAACAAAAACAACCAAACGGAACCAACAAAAAUCGCAAUUUUUCUUUGGUUGAUUGGAACGAAAGGUGCCAACAUUUACAACACUCUGUUUCCGAACGAUGGGUCCCAGCAACAGCUUCUGCAGCGGCAACAACACGGGACGAAACUACACAGCGAACAUUGAAUGAAGUGUUGACAGCGUUUGAUAAUCACUGUUUGCCGCAAAAGAAUGUGACGAUGGAAUCGUACAAAUUUAACAACAUGGUGCAAAAGGAACGUCAGCCGUUCAGCGAAUUUUUAACGGAACUUCGUGCACAAAUCGAACGCUGUGAAUUCAAUUGCACAUGUGGAUUGUCGUACGAAAGUCGGAUGCUGCGUGAUCGCAUAAUCACUGGAGUGUAUGACAAGAAACUCCAGUUGAAAUUACUCGAUGGUCGUGAUGAAACAUUGGAUCGUGUGGUGGACAUAUGCAAAACGUUUGAAUCAGCAAAUGUUCACAAAGGCAUUUUGGCAUCGAAACAGUCAAUUGCGGCAAUAGCCCUAUCGGAAAACACAGACACCGAUUCAGUUGAUGCAAUCAACAUGGGCAAGAAACGUACGUGCUUCAACUGUGGUGGCGAUUGGGACAGAGAGCAUAAGAGCAAAUGUCCAGCCAAGAACUUCACGUGCCAAUGCGGGAAAAAGGGUCAUUUUCGCCGAAUGUGUCGAAGCAAAGGAAAGAAAUCGGAAGUUUCAUCAUCGGGUAGAUCUCAGUCGAAAUCGAAUGACAAGUCAGCUGUUGACAGUCUCCGUUGGAACGAUGUUUCAUCGUCAGAAUAAAUUCAAUCGGACUGAAAAGAAAGCGAUGGACCAAGGCAUACCGAAUAGGGAAUAAGAUAAGUAAAAUUCAAAGUCGAUUCAGGAGCAGAUGUCAAUUGCAUUCCAUUGAGAAUCAUCAAGAAAAUGAAAAUUAAAAUGAAACACGAGCAAAAUGACUUUCCUGUAUUCGAUUAUAGUAACAAUAAAAUUAAGAUUUAUGGUAUUGCCGAAAUUAAAA